GCUUUCUUUUGAUUAGUGUGAACAUGGUAUAUCUUUUCCUGUACUUUCUCAGAGUAGUCUGUUCUCAGGCCAAGCUUGCUUCCUACUCUGCCAUAAGGUGAGCCACCUCUACCUGCCUGGAGAUCAACCUGCGGUCAUCCAGUUCCACCAGUGCCUGGCUGGAGCUAUAAGUUGGUGCUGUUUGCCAGGGUUGAUGUCUGCAGAGGGCCAGGGGAAUUCCAAGCAAGGGAAGCAAGGAGAGCUUCUUGGACUCCUCAAGUUCUACCAGGAGGCAGUGCUAUGGUGUGCCCAACCCUCCCAGAGGCCUAAGUGACCACCCUCCUGGGAAUGCCCAAAGCAUCUGCUAUUUAGGACUUGGUUACAGAGCGCCAUCAGCUUCCCCAAGCAGUCUGUGGGAAAGACAGCUUGUCACAAUGCCAGUCUCUGCAUUUCUCCAUCCUGCCCACCAGAGUAUCCUGAAAGACUUGGCAAAUAUCUUGCUGAACAUCAGAUACACCAUGUCUCCUGAUCGAGCAGACUAAUACCCUUAUUAAAAAGAAAAUGUGGUUGGCCUUUGUCUGGCCUGACUUGGCCGGGUGCUGGCCACCUAGGACCGAUGUUUGAUUUCCUGUGCCACCCGACAGACCUUGAGAUAGUCCUUGCUCUCUGCACUAGAGAAGCAGCCAGUGAAAAGGAAGAUGGGCAUCCUA
This 689-nucleotide long non-coding RNA is filed under the name Macaca mulatta (Rhesus monkey). RNAcentral's name for it is "lncRNA (ENSMMUG00000042207.2)". The record is from RNAcentral. Lineage: Eukaryota; Metazoa; Chordata; Mammalia; Primates; Cercopithecidae.